UGGGCGUCGACCGGCGACGACGGUGAGUAACGCGUAUCCAACCUGCCCAUCACUUGGGGAUAACCUUGCGAAAGUAAGACUAAUACCCAAUGACGUCUCCAGAAGACAUCUGAAAGAGAUUAAAGAUUUAUCGGUGAUGGAUGGGGAUGCGUCUGAUUAGCUUGUUGGCGGGGUAACGGCCCACCAAGGCGACGAUCAGUAGGGGUUCUGAGAGGAAGGUCCCCCACAUUGGAACUGAGACACGGUCCAAACUCCUACGGGAGGCAGCAGUGAGGAAUAUUGGUCAAUGGGCGAGAGCCUGAACCAGCCAAGUAGCGUGCAGGAUGACGGCCCUAUGGGUUGUAAACUGCUUUUAUAAGGGAAUAAAGUGAGUCUCGUGAGACUUUUUGCAUGUACCUUAUGAAUAAGGACCGGCUAAUUCCGUG
This 425-nucleotide ribosomal RNA is filed under the name uncultured bacterium. RNAcentral's name for it is "bacterial SSU rRNA". It matches the Rfam family "Bacterial small subunit ribosomal RNA", at positions 81 to 507 of the family's 1533-position model. The record is from RNAcentral.